This 72-nucleotide transfer RNA is filed under the name Schistosoma japonicum. RNAcentral's name for it is "tRNA-OTHER". The record is from RNAcentral. Lineage: Eukaryota; Metazoa; Platyhelminthes; Trematoda; Strigeidida; Schistosomatidae.
GACUCAGUGGUCUAAUCGUAAAGCGCUCGUCGCAGAGCCAGAGUGUCCUGGGUUCGAUCCCCAACGAGGUCG